UCUAGGAAGCUGAGUUCACGUGGAGUUCUAAAUUACAAGGCGUCGUGCUUGGUUCCUUCUACUACGGCUACGCAAUCCUCCAGAUCCCAGGGGCGUGGCUUGCCUUAAAAUGUGGAGGCACAAGAAUCUUUGGCUAUGCUAUAUUUUUAGCAUCAAUGUUUACCUUACUGACUCCUAUAGCAACAAGRGCAAGUGUUUAYGGUCUGAUUGCUGCUCGGAUUGCGGAGGGAUUGGUACUGGGUGCAGUGUUUCCAUGUAACCAUGCUAUUUGGAGCAAGUGGGCUCCYCCACUUGAAAGAACAACUCUCGUUACUUUGGCAAUAUCAGGUAUC
Molecule: long non-coding RNA, 332 nt
Organism: Exaiptasia diaphana
Lineage: Eukaryota; Metazoa; Cnidaria; Anthozoa; Actiniaria; Aiptasiidae
Exons: 3
Source: RefSeq, a predicted model, not a curated record